This is a long non-coding RNA of Mauremys mutica (yellowpond turtle), 435 nucleotides long. RefSeq lists it as uncharacterized. The record is from RefSeq and is a predicted model, not a curated record. NCBI's taxonomy places the organism in Eukaryota, Metazoa, Chordata, Testudines, Geoemydidae. The transcript is spliced from 4 exons.
GGCAGCAUUCAUGUUGGAAAUUACACCAGAUGAGUUCCAGCGUACUGCAGCUCAAGGUCAUCUAAAUGCUGCGUUCUGCUCCAAACAAUUUAGACCAGUCUCUUCUGGAUGAGCGUCUAGAAGAUAAUGAGGAAGAAGGAGACUUCCUCUCACGAUCCCGAGAUGACUUUGUCCUCCUGAUAGAAGAACGAGAGGAUUCUACCUCUGAUGAGGUUUCAGACCCAGAUGGGAGAACCACUGCCUGAUUAGAAUGCUGUUUUGGACCUGGCUGCUCGAUGCUCCACAAACUAGUCAAUCAUCAAGCAACCUUGAAAUGCCAGAAACCUGUAGCCAGAAAGAACAUGGCAUGGAUACUGCAAUACCUUUGGAACAGAAAGCUGUAUUAGCAGCAUCUACUGCUGCCUGAAGAGACAUGCAAGCUGUAAGAUACCCCUG